UGGUAGACGUAGCAGUACAAUUAGUCGUUCGGUAGUUAUCCAUUUCAGUUCAUCUAAAGCUGCUCUAACGUAGAUUUGGAGAAAAUUGACAAAAAGUAAUAUUUCAUUUGACUGUAUUUCGAGUUGACAUUGCAGGAAGGAUGCUGCGAUGAAUAUUCAAGACUGGCUGAAAAAACGAAAAAAAAUUGCUGCAAUCCGGAGAUUCUUCAGAACUUCAACUUCCAUUUUUUUUCCUAUUCCUCCACCCCAUCGGGGGCUGUGCUCCUGAUCGGGUGGAGGCGCUCCUUACGUCUUGCAUAGUAGGCGUGUUGGCCUACUGUGCGAUCCCGUGGAGUUUUUUAAUAUUCUAUUUUUAGUUACGUUGCAGAUAACCGCGAGUUUUAACUUUACUAUUACUAGUAAUUUUUUAUACUGAUAAAAUUGUAAUUUCAGUAAAUUAGCGUCGCACUUAUGUUUUGUAGAUAUACAAAUUUUUAUAUAAAACUGGUCUACGAUAUCCUGCCUUAACAGUUAACUUGCAUCAGUAAACCAUACAUUAAGUAGGUUUUUAUGGUUAUCAAAUAUUAGCUGAAUCCACUUUGGUUUUAGUUACUUCUCACCUUAAUAUUGUGAUUUCACAAGAUAAUUUUUGGAAAAUAUUAUUUUGGUCAGUUUUUCAUAUGUAGCUAAGUUUUCAGUGUAGGUCGGAUUAAUCUUUUUAGAAAAACUGUAGAGUGGUUACUUGUGGAUGAGUAUUUCUGUUUUUUCAAAGUUUCCAAUUCAUUUUUAGUUUUGGAUCAUGAGAUCAAUUACUCUUAAAAUCCAUGGUUAUAACUUUUUAGAUAUUUGGUAGAUGUUAGUAUUUUGAAGGAGGUUUGAUGUUUUAUGCAUUUUUUAAUUCUUAAAGAUUUUCCAUAAGAAAAUUUACGUAAUGAGCAGCAGUGUACGUUAACCUUUCCUUUUUUUUCCUACUUUGUAUUAAGGUUUGCUUUUAUUUCAUCCAAAGUCUUUCCUGCUGCUUUUCAUGACUUACAGGUGACCUUGCUGUGAGGGGUUUAAAAUGGCGGGCUGAAGGAUUUAGAGUACUUGUGUGAUUAGUUCGUGGAAUACUCCUUUUUCAAUCUGUUACAAAAGCGAGGCUUUCCUUAUUUUAGUUCUGAAGUGUAUGAAACAGGUUUUGAGAAUAAAUCAUUCUGUAACCGCAGAUUCAUGAUUAAGAAUGAUUCUAGUGUGUGUGCCCCCCCCGUAAAUACCAUUGUUUGUAACCACGUAAAAUUGACCCUUAUUGUCAGAAAAAGUGUACAUAAGCUGUUAAAUGUUUUUAUUUUUAAGAUACAAGGAUAUAAGAUUUUUAGAGAUUUGUCUCAGUAGUUCUAAUUUGUAUUAGUACUGUAUAUCAAAUUGUUAACAAAUAUAUAUGAAAUUGACUGA
Macrobrachium nipponense is the source of this 1410-nucleotide long non-coding RNA. RefSeq lists it as uncharacterized. Lineage: Eukaryota; Metazoa; Arthropoda; Malacostraca; Decapoda; Palaemonidae. The record is from RefSeq and is a predicted model, not a curated record. The transcript has 2 exons.